GUACUCUCAUGGUAGGCAAGAUAUGAAUCUUCCUUGAAGUGGCACAUAGAAUGAAUGGGGGGUAACUGGCCCAUGGAGAACACUCGAUAAAGCUCGGGGAUGAACACGAUCUCGGCAAUCAUGGAGUCAGAACGUGCUGCCAUUAGCUCAGGAAUGACUGAGAUCACUGGAAGGGCCUUGAUCUCAGGGUCUCAGGAGUCGGAGACUCUGAUCCAGCUCAGGGCUCAGGGGUCGGAGGACUCAGUCCCAGCUCAGGGUCUCCAGGGGUUGGGGGAUUCAGUCCCAGCUCACGGUCUCCAGGGGAGUGGAGGGACUCAGUCCCAGCUCCUGCGGUCUCCAGGGGUAGGGGACUCAGUCCCAGCUCACGGUCUCAGGGUGGGGGACUCGGUCAGCUCAGGGCUCAGGGGUCGGGGGACUCAGUCCCAGCUCCGCGGUCUCCAGGGGUCGGGGGACUCAGUCCCAGCUCAGGGGCUCCAGGGGUCGGGGACUCAGUCCCAGCUCAGGGGCUCCAGGGUCGGGGAUCGCAGUCCCAGCUCAGGGGCUCCAGGGUGGGGGACUCAGUCCCAGCUCAGGGUCUCCAGGGGUCGGAGGACUCAGUCCCAGCUCAGGGGCUCCAGGGGUCGGGGGACUCAGUCCCAGCUCACGGUCUCCAAGGGUCGGGGGACUCAGUCCCAGCUCAGGGGCUCCAGGGGUCGGGGGACUCAGUCAGCUCAGGGGCUCGGGGGAGGUCGGGAACUCGGUCCCGGCUCACGGUCUCGGGGUUGGGACUCAGUCCCAGCUCAGAAGCAGGGGGCUCAGGGGUCGGGGACUCGGUCCCAGCUCAGGAGUCUCCAGGGUUGGGGAUCUGGUCCCAGCUCAGAAUCAGAAUUCGGAGGACUCAGUCCCAGCUCAGGGGCUCCAGGGGUCGGGGGACUCAGUCCCAGCUCAGGGUCUCCAGGGGUCGGGGGAUGCGGUCCCAGCUCAGGGGCUCCAGGUGUGGGAGCAGCCCAAAACCCCUCUCAGGCUGGGAUGAGGGGCCGGGCUAUGGGGCUUCAGGGGUCCUGCUCUCCCUCUGUGACUCUGUUCCUCUUCUCGGACUCCCACCUUCCACUGCUGCCUCUCUGCUCUGUCCUGUUCUCUCAUUUUUGUAGCUCAAAAAUGCCCCACCCUCUCCAGGUCCCUUCUGACUUCUAA
This 1173-nucleotide long non-coding RNA is filed under the name Papio anubis (olive baboon). RNAcentral describes it as "lncRNA (ENSPANG00000038619.1)". Lineage: Eukaryota; Metazoa; Chordata; Mammalia; Primates; Cercopithecidae. The record is from RNAcentral.